Molecule: ribosomal RNA, 395 nt
Filed under: uncultured bacterium
Lineage: Bacteria
Description: bacterial SSU rRNA
Rfam family: Bacterial small subunit ribosomal RNA
Source: RNAcentral
AUUUUGGACAAUGGGCGAAAGCCUGAUCCAGCAAUGCCGCGUGAGUGAUGAAGGCCUUAGGGUUGUAAAGCUCUUUUGCCCGGGAUGAUAAUGACAGUACCGGGAGAAUAAGCCCCGGCUAACUCCGUGCCAGCAGCCGCGGUAAUACGGAGGGGGCUAGCGUUGUUCGGAAUUACUGGGCGUAAAGCGCACGUAGGCGGCUUUGUAAGUUAGGGGUGAAAUCCCAGUGCUCAACACUGGAACUGCCUCUAAGACUGCAUCGCUCGAAUCCAGGAGAGGUGAGUGGAAUUCCGAGUGUAGAGGUGAAAUUCGUAGAUAUUCGGAAGAACACCAGUGGCGAAGGCGGCUCACUGGACUGGUAUUGACGCUGAGGUGCGAAAGCGUGGGGAGCAAAC